GAUGAACGCUGGCGGCGUGCCUAAUACAUGCAAGUCGAGCGAAUGGAUUAAGAGCUUGCUCUUAUGAAGUUAGCGGCGGACGGGUGAGUAACACGUGGGUAACCUGCCCAUAAGACUGGGAUAACUCCGGGAAACCGGGGCUAAUACCGGAUAACAUUUUGAACCGCAUGGUUCGAAAUUGAAAGGCGGCUUCGGCUGUCACUUAUGGAUGGACCCGCGUCGCAUUAGCUAGUUGGUGAGGUAACGGCUCACCAAGGCAACGAUGCGUAGCCGUCCUGAGAGGGUGAUCGGCCACACUGGGACGGAGACACGGCCCAGACUCCUACGGGAGGAAGCAGUAGGGAAUCUUCCGAAAUGGACGAAAGUCUGACGGAGCAACGCCGCGUGAGUGAUGAAGGCUUUCGGGUCGUAAAACUCUGUUGUUAGGGAAGAACAAGUGCUAGUUGAAUAAGCUGGCACCUUGACGGUACCUAACCAGAAAGCCACGGCUAACUACGUGCCAGCAGCCGCCGUAA
Molecule: ribosomal RNA, 515 nt
Filed under: uncultured bacterium
Lineage: Bacteria
Description: partial 16S ribosomal RNA
Rfam family: Bacterial small subunit ribosomal RNA
Source: RNAcentral